Molecule: ribosomal RNA, 497 nt
Filed under: uncultured bacterium
Lineage: Bacteria
Description: partial 16S ribosomal RNA
Rfam family: Bacterial small subunit ribosomal RNA
Source: RNAcentral
GAUGAACGCUGGCGGCGUGCCUAAUACAUGCAAGUCGAGCGAACGGACGAGAAGCUUGCUUCUCUGAUGUUAGCGGCGGACGGGUGAGUAACACGUGGAUAACCUACCUAUAAGACGGGGAUAACUUCGGGAAACCGGAGCUAAUACCGGAUAAUAUUUUGAACCGCAUGGUUCAAAAGUGAAAGACGGUCUUGCUGUCACUUAUAGAUGGAUCCGCGCUGCAUUAGCUAGUUGGUAAGGUAACGGCUUACCAAGGCAACGAUGCAUAGCCGACCUGAGAGGGUGAUCGGCCACACUGGAACUGAGACACGGUCCAGACUCCUACGGGAGGCAGCAGUAGGGAAUCUUCCGCAAUGGGCGAAAGCCUGACGGAGCAACGCCGCGUGAGUGAUGAAGGUCUUCGGAUCGUAAAGCUCUGUUAUUAGGGAAGAACAUAUGUGUAAGUAACUGUGCACAUCUUGACGGUACCUAAUCAGAAAGCCACGGCUAACUACGUG